GUGAACGCUGGCGGUAGGCCUAACACAUGCAAGUCGAACGGCAGCACAGUAAGAGCUUGCUCUUACGGGUGGCGAGUGGCGGACGGGUGAGGAAUACAUCGGAAUCUACUUUUUCGUGGGGGAUAACGUAGGGAAACUUACGCUAAUACCGCAUACGACCUACGGGUGAAAGCAGGGGAUCUUCGGACCUUGCGCGAUUGAAUGAGCCGAUGUCGGAUUAGCUAGUUGGCGGGGUAAAGGCCCACCAAGGCGACGAUCCGUAGCUGGUCUGAGAGGAUGAUCAGCCACACUGGAACUGAGACACGGUCCAGACUCCUACGGGAGGCAGCAGUGGGGAAUAUUGGACAAUGGGCGCAAGCCUGAUCCAGCCAUACCGCGUGGGUGAAGAAGGCCUUCGGGUUGUAAAGCCCUUUUGUUGGGAAAGAAAAGCAGCAGAUUAAUACCCCGCUGUUCUGACGGUACCCAAAGAAUAAGCACCGGCUAACUUCGUG
This 491-nucleotide ribosomal RNA is filed under the name uncultured bacterium. RNAcentral describes it as "partial 16S ribosomal RNA". It matches the Rfam family "Bacterial small subunit ribosomal RNA", at positions 29 to 507 of the family's 1533-position model. The record is from RNAcentral.